GGUCUCGUAGCUCAGUUGGAUAGAGCACGUCCCUUCUAAGGAUGUGGUCGUAGGUUCGAAUCCUACCGAGAUCACCA
Molecule: transfer RNA, 77 nt
Filed under: Mollicutes bacterium PWAP
Lineage: Bacteria; Bacillati; Mycoplasmatota; Mollicutes
Description: tRNA-Arg
Rfam family: tRNA
About the family: Transfer RNA (tRNA) molecules are approximately 80 nucleotides in length. Their secondary structure includes four short double-helical elements and three loops (D, anti-codon, and T loops).
Source: RNAcentral